Molecule: non-coding RNA, 125 nt
Filed under: Bacillus gobiensis
Lineage: Bacteria; Bacillati; Bacillota; Bacilli; Caryophanales; Bacillaceae
Description: SAM-I sequence
Rfam family: SAM riboswitch aptamer (S box leader)
About the family: The SAM riboswitch is found upstream of a number of genes which code for proteins involved in methionine or cysteine biosynthesis in Gram-positive bacteria.
Source: Rfam by way of RNAcentral
UUCUUAUCAUGAGAGGUGGAGGGACUGGCCCGAAGAAACCUCAGCAACCGGUUAUGCAUGCUGUUCAAUCAGCUUGCACCAAGGUGCUAAAUCCAGCAAGCGUUCUUUUGCUUGAAAGAUAAGAG